This 86-nucleotide non-coding RNA is filed under the name Clostridium sp. RNAcentral describes it as "Glycine sequence". It matches the Rfam family "Glycine riboswitch aptamer". From Rfam's summary of the family: This family represents the bacterial glycine riboswitch. Glycine riboswitches usually consist of two metabolite-binding aptamers domains with similar structures in tandem. RNAcentral also lists the same sequence under 1 other name. The record is from RNAcentral. Lineage: Bacteria; Bacillati; Bacillota; Clostridia; Eubacteriales; Clostridiaceae.
AUGAAGAUUCCGGGAGAGACCGUCUGUCACAGACGGCGCCGAAGGGGAACGCAAAAACUCUCAGGCAAAAAAACCGGGAUCCGACG